UGACGCUGGCGGCAUGCCUUACACAUGCAAGUCGAACGGUAACAGGUCUUCGGACGCUGACGAGUGGCGAACGGGUGAGUAAUACAUCGGAACGUGCCCAGUCGUGGGGGAUAACUACUCGAAAGAGUAGCUAAUACCGCAUACGAUCUGAGGAUGAAAGCGGGGGACCUUCGGGCCUCGCGCGAUUGGAGCGGCCGAUGGCAGAUUAGGUAGUUGGUGGGAUAAAAGCUUACCAAGCCGACGAUCUGUAGCUGGUCUGAGAGGACGACCAGCCACACUGGGACUGAGACACGGCCCAGACUCCUACGGGAGGCAGCAGUGGGGAAUUUUGGACAAUGGGCGAAAGCCUGAUCCAGCAAUGCCGCGUGCAGGAUGAAGGCCUUCGGGUUGUAAACUGCUUUUGUACGGAACGAAAAAGCUUCUCCUAAUACGAGAGGCCCAUGACGGUACCGUAAGAAUAAGCACCGGCUAACUACGUGCCAGCAGCCGCGGUAAU
RNAcentral lists this ribosomal RNA (496 nucleotides) under uncultured bacterium. RNAcentral's name for it is "bacterial SSU rRNA". It matches the Rfam family "Bacterial small subunit ribosomal RNA", at positions 33 to 524 of the family's 1533-position model. The record is from RNAcentral.